This 253-nucleotide ribosomal RNA is filed under the name uncultured bacterium. RNAcentral describes it as "partial 16S ribosomal RNA". It matches the Rfam family "Bacterial small subunit ribosomal RNA", at positions 524 to 776 of the family's 1533-position model. The record is from RNAcentral.
UACGGAGGGUGCAAGCGUUAAUCGGAAUUACUGGGCGUAAAGCGCACGUAGGUGGUUUGUUAAGCCAGCUGUGAAAUCCCCGGGCUCAACCUGGGCACUGCAGUUGGAACUGGCAAGCUAGAGUAGGGUAGAGGGGUGUGGAAUUCCAGGUGUAGCGGUGAAAUGCGUAGAUAUCGGGAGGAACACCAGUGGCGAAGGCGACUUCCUGGCCUGUUCUUGACGCUGAGGCGCGAAAGCUAGGGUAGCAAACGGG